CACGGCGUCUUCACCGGCGAUUGGAUCUGGAGCUCUCGUCCCUGGUUCAGAUGUCAGAUGAUGAAGACGAUGGUUGAUCGCAAUGGUGACACCCAGAGCUAGAAGGCCACGAGGAGUUCAAUAUGAGAUCAACGAUGCUAUGAAGAAUAUCUGCUAUUGCCGGCGUGUUGUCUUUGUAGCAGCUCAUUGAGAAGUUAGGCUUUAACAAUGUGACUGAUAAGCCGGUUACACUUAAAAUGAUGAGAGAUGUAUGUGAAUCUUUUCUUGAAUCCUCUGAAAGGAAGCAAAGCUAGCACAUAGUGGGGGUGAUAUCUUGAAGAGUUACAGAGUGGCCGUGCAGAGGCAGCUUGGGUAGGUUAACAAGGGAUUGCAUUGGAAUUAUUUCUGAUUAAGUAUUAGCUCUGGAUUACCACUGUUGUUGGUGUUAGUCCAGCUGUACUGGUGCCAUAACUACACUAUCUGGGUUGGCACUUCAGUUGAAUUCUGGAUUUAUUCUUUUGGUUUGGUUCUCUCGUUAUGAUUGUCUUCUACUGUAUGACCUGGUAUAUCAUAGUUCAAAACAUGUUGGACCUGUUUUUUUGCGAUACUCAGUGAGGAACAUGUGCAUGUGUGGGACUUGAUAAAGCUUGGAGAUUAUCUUAGUGCAAGGGACGAUGUUGAUCCCUCUAGGAUAGGGAUUAGUGGUGAAUCACUCAGAGGUAUCAUAGAUCAUGAUUGCAUCAUGAUACUGAAUUAUUACAUAGAUUUCACUUUUAGAAAAUUUAUCCUUUUUAUUUGUAGCUGAAUACAGGAAUGCAUGCAUGGUUUGCUGCUAUUGUGGAUACACGGCUCAGUAUUGUUGUUCCAAUAAUUGGUGUUCUGGGAUUUCAACGGGCAAUAGAUAAUGACAUGUGACAAGCUAGAGUUGAUAGCAUUAAGCCUUUAUUUGAAGAAGCAAGAAUUGAUUCAGGGAAGAGUGAAAUAGAUGCAGAGGUUGUAAAAAAGGUUUGGGACAAGAUAGCACCUGCUAUGGCUUCAUAGUUUGAUGCUCCCUACUCAGUUCCUCUGAUUGCACCACGUCCACUCCUCCUAAAUGGUGCUGACGACCCUCAUUGCCCAGUCCUUGGUCUACAAGAACCUGCCUCCAAAGUUGUUGAGGCUUAAGCAGAAGCUGGUUCUGUGGAUAAGUUCAAGGAUCCAAAGAACUAGCUCGACUGGACUCUAGAUCACGGACAAUUUAGUCUUGGCACUUAAUUAGGAUGGCGAAAUUACAUUUGAUGGAUAUUUGCUAUCAGAAUUAUGUAUUUUAUGAAUCUACAUAUUAUACGCAUGGUUUUGAAUAUUGUAAUUGAAGGCCUGUAUUUUUUUUAGGCUGCAAUAGGCUAUUGGCACAAUCCACUUUUGGUUGCCACAUGUUAGCACCACGGAAACUUAAAUUGUCGCAAUAGUU
This is a long non-coding RNA of Triticum dicoccoides, 1429 nucleotides long. RefSeq lists it as uncharacterized. The record is from RefSeq and is a predicted model, not a curated record. Lineage: Eukaryota; Viridiplantae; Streptophyta; Magnoliopsida; Poales; Poaceae. The transcript is spliced from 8 exons.